Molecule: ribosomal RNA, 495 nt
Filed under: uncultured bacterium
Lineage: Bacteria
Description: partial 16S ribosomal RNA
Rfam family: Bacterial small subunit ribosomal RNA
Source: RNAcentral
GACGAACGCUGGCGGCGUGCCUAAUACAUGCAAGUAGAACGCUGAAGGAGGAGCUUGCUUCUCUGGAUGAGUUGCGAACGGGUGAGUAACGCGUAGGUAACCUGCCUGGUAGCGGGGGAUAACUAUUGGAAACGAUAGCUAAUACCGCAUAAUAGUAGAUGUUGCAUGACAUUUGCUUAAAAGGUGCAAUUGCAUCACUACCAGAUGGACCUGCGUUGUAUUAGCUAGUUGGUGAGGUAACGGCUCACCAAGGCGACGAUACAUAGCCGACCUGAGAGGGUGAUCGGCCACACUGGGACUGAGACACGGCCCAGACUCCUACGGGAGGCAGCAGUAGGGAAUCUUCGGCAAUGGACGGAAGUCUGACCGAGCAACGCCGCGGGAGUGAAGAAGGUUUUCGGAUCGUAAAGCUCGGUUGUAAGAGAAGAACGAGUGUGAGAGUGGAAAGUUCACACUGUGACGGUAUCUUAACAGAAAGGGACGGCUAACUACGUG